GACGAACGCUGGCGGCGUGCUUAACACAUGCAAGUCGAACGGUGAAGCGCCUUCCUUUUUGGUGGGUGUGGAUGAGUGGCGAACGGGUGAGUAACACGUGAGUAACCUGCCCCCUUCUUCUGGAUAACCGCAUGAAAGUGUGGCUAAUACGGGAUAUUCUGGGUCUGUCGCAUGAUGGGUCUGGGAAAGAUAUUGUUUCGGUGGGGGAUGGGCUCGCGGCCUAUCAGCUUGUUGGCGGGGUGAUGGCCUACCAAGGCGGUGACGGGUAGCCGGCCUGAGAGGGUGGACGGUCACACUGGGACUGAGACACGGCCCAGACUCCUACGGGAGGCAGCAGUGGGGAAUAUUGCACAAUGGGCGCAAGCCUGAUGCAGCGACGCCGCGUGAGGGAUGGAGGCCUUCGGGUUGUGAACCUCUUUCGCCAGUGAAGCAGGCCUGCCUCGUUUGUGGGUGGGUUGACGGUAGCUGGAUAAGAAGCGCCGGCUAACUACGU
Molecule: ribosomal RNA, 493 nt
Filed under: uncultured bacterium
Lineage: Bacteria
Description: partial 16S ribosomal RNA
Rfam family: Bacterial small subunit ribosomal RNA
Source: RNAcentral